RNAcentral lists this transfer RNA (83 nucleotides) under Ferrithrix thermotolerans DSM 19514. It matches the Rfam family "tRNA". From Rfam's summary of the family: Transfer RNA (tRNA) molecules are approximately 80 nucleotides in length. Their secondary structure includes four short double-helical elements and three loops (D, anti-codon, and T loops). The record is from Rfam by way of RNAcentral. Lineage: Bacteria; Bacillati; Actinomycetota; Acidimicrobiia; Acidimicrobiales; Acidimicrobiaceae.
GCGGGCGUGGCGAAAUUGGCAGACGCGCUAGGUUUAGGUCCUAGUACCUUGUAGGUGUGGGAGUUCGAGUCUCCCCGCCCGCA